UUUUGGAUACAGUGGAAACCGAACUUGAUUCUUUAAAACGAUGGUUUAAUCUGAACAAGCUGUCACUGAAUAUAAAUAAAACUAAAUAUAUAAUAUUUGGACAUCGGAAUUCUAAGAAUCUUAGACAUAUUACUUUAGACAAUAUUGAAAUAGAAAGAGUAUAUGAAAACACAUUUCUGGGAGUUGUCAUAGAUCACAAAUUAUGCUGGAAACCACAUGUUAACCAUAUUAAAACUAAAAUAUCAAAGUCCACAGCAAUUCUGAACAAAACCAGAUAUAUUCUUAAUACAAAUUCUUUACAUUUAUUAUAUCAAUCUCUCAUACUUCCAUAUGUAAGUUAUGGAGGGGAAGUUUGGGGGAAAACAUAUAAAACAAUUACGAAUCCAAUUUUCUUACUUCAAAAGAGAGCAAUCAGAAUUAUAAAUAGGGCAAAUUAUCGUGAAUCGACAAAUCAGUUAUUUAUAAACUUACAGUAUUUAAUAGCAUGUUGCCAGACUGUAUCCAGAGGCUGUUUCAAAUAAGAGAAUCCCAUUAUGAACUGAGGGGAAGCUGUAUUUUUACUAGACCAAAUAGCAGAACAAAUGUAAAACAAAGAAGUGUCUCGGUGUAUGGAGUUAAACUGUGGAACGAAUUAGAAAUUGACUUG
This is a long non-coding RNA of Sander lucioperca (pikeperch), 646 nucleotides long. RefSeq lists it as uncharacterized. The transcript has 2 exons. Lineage: Eukaryota; Metazoa; Chordata; Actinopteri; Perciformes; Percidae. The record is from RefSeq and is a predicted model, not a curated record.